GGCGAACCCUAGGAUUUGGGGCUGUCGCUUCUUCUUCAACACGAUCUUCAUCUUUGCGUCCUUUGAGUUCGUUAAUCAGCCGCGAUCCAAAGAUUUAACAGUCUCUCACCUUCGCUUGCACCCUCACUCGUUCCAUUUGUAACCAUCUAGGGCUUCAGACCACAGUGCAACAUCAACCGCGAAGGAACCAUCGCCCGACAUUUGAAUUAUUGCAUACUGCAGAUGUCGCAUUUCUUGGGUUAACAGCUGACUAUUAUCUAGCAAUGGAUCAAACUGCGGAUGAAACUCGUGCUGGUAGUGAGAAUCAGACCAAGCAAGAUGGUGAAAAGCUUUUGACAUGGAACCUCCAGUAAUGCCAGAGGAUGGCCACACAACCAGGGUUACUACUGUGGGGGGAAUCAUCAUUACCAAAUUCUGGGAAAGAUUCUUCAGUUCUUGAAGCAAUCUGGGAUGAUGAAGACACCAAAGCAUUUUAUGAAAGCUUGCCUGUCCUUAGAGCUUUUGUUCCAGCUGUGCUUCUGGGAGAAGUAGAACCUAAGGCUAAUGACCAUUCUCCAAAGUCACAAGAGCAACCAUCUGUAAGGAACUCAUUUCUAUUUUAUUUAGGCUCCAGCAACUAUUUAUCAUUGAUGUCAUAUACUUGUAUCAUAAUAUUUCUUUGUGUGUACUACAUGGAGUGUACCUGCAAUACCAUUUUAAACA
Long non-coding RNA from Impatiens glandulifera, 702 nucleotides. RefSeq lists it as uncharacterized. Lineage: Eukaryota; Viridiplantae; Streptophyta; Magnoliopsida; Ericales; Balsaminaceae. The record is from RefSeq and is a predicted model, not a curated record. The transcript is spliced from 4 exons.